Molecule: transfer RNA, 86 nt
Filed under: Prevotellaceae bacterium
Lineage: Bacteria; Pseudomonadati; Bacteroidota; Bacteroidia; Bacteroidales; Prevotellaceae
Description: tRNA-Leu
Rfam family: tRNA
About the family: Transfer RNA (tRNA) molecules are approximately 80 nucleotides in length. Their secondary structure includes four short double-helical elements and three loops (D, anti-codon, and T loops).
Source: RNAcentral
GCUCGGGUGAUGGAAUAGGUAGACAUGCAAGACUUAAAAUCUUGUGGACAGUAAUGUCCGUACGGGUUCAAUUCCCGUCCCGAGUA